RNAcentral lists this ribosomal RNA (468 nucleotides) under uncultured bacterium. RNAcentral's name for it is "partial 16S ribosomal RNA". It matches the Rfam family "Bacterial small subunit ribosomal RNA", at positions 28 to 507 of the family's 1533-position model. The record is from RNAcentral.
GACGAACGCUGGCGGCGUGCUUAACACAUGCAAGUCGAACGGAAAGGCCCGGCUUUUUUGGGGUGCUCGAGGGGCGACCGGGGGAGUAACACGUGAGUAACCUACCCUUGACUUUGGGAUAACUUAAGGAAACUGGGGCUAAUACGGGAUAGGAGCUCCUGCUGCAGGGUGGGGGUUGGAAAGUUUAGGCGGUUGGGAGUGGACUGGCGGCGUAUCAGCUUGUUGGUUGGGUAGUGUGAUACCAAGGCUUGGCGGCGUAGCCGGGCUGAGAGGGUGACCGGCCCCACUGGGACUGAGAUACGGCCCGGACUACUAUGGGAGGCAGGACAGCGGAAGAGUGUACAAUGCGCGGAGCCCUGAUGUAGUCAAGCAGCGUGGGGGAUGAGGGCCUGCCCGUUGGAUAGUGAAGCCGUCUUUGACGAAGCGAGAGUGACGGUAACGGGUAAAGAAGCUCCGGCUAACUACGUG